RNAcentral lists this ribosomal RNA (253 nucleotides) under uncultured bacterium. RNAcentral's name for it is "partial 16S ribosomal RNA". It matches the Rfam family "Bacterial small subunit ribosomal RNA", at positions 524 to 776 of the family's 1533-position model. The record is from RNAcentral.
UACAGAGGGGGCAAGCGUUGUUCGGAAUUACUGGGCGUAAAGGGCGCGUAGGCGGCCUGCUAAGUCGAACGUGAAAUCCCUGGGCUCAACCCAGGAACUGCGUCCGAUACUGGUUGGCUUGAAUCCGGGAGAGGGAUGCGGAAUUCCAGGUGUAGCGGUGAAAUGCGUAGAUAUCUGGAGGAAUACCGGUGGCGAAGGCGACAUCCUGGACCGGUAUUGACGCUGAGGCGCGAAAGCCAGGGGAGCAAACGGG